Molecule: ribosomal RNA, 406 nt
Filed under: uncultured bacterium
Lineage: Bacteria
Description: partial 16S ribosomal RNA
Rfam family: Bacterial small subunit ribosomal RNA
Source: RNAcentral
AUUGAACGCUGGCGGCAGGCCUAACACAUGCAAGUCGAACGCGUGGCGGGCGGGUGAGUAAUUUCUGGGAAACCGCCUGAUGGAGGGGGAUAACUACUGGACACGGUAGAUAACACCGCAUCCGAUCGGCGGUGCCCAGAUGGGAGUAGCUAGUGGGUGGGGUAAAGGCUCACCUAGGCGACGAUCCCUAGCUGGGCUGAGAGGAUGACCAGCCACACUGGAACUGAGACACGGUCCAGACUCCUACGGGAGGCAGCAGUGGGGAAUAUUGCACAAUGGGCGCAAGCAUGAUGCAGCCAUGCCGCGUGUAUGAAGAAGGCCCUCGGGUUGUAAAGUACUUUCAGCGGGGAGGCGUUACCCGCAGAAGAAGCACCGGCUAACUCCGUGCCAGCAGCCGCGGUAAUAC